GUCCAGGACCCGGAUUGUGCGCCCCUUCUUCCAGCCGGGAAGACCAGUUCCAGCUGAUACCACCCGCUUGCUCACCACGUCUGCGCCCUCGGCGCCUCGGCGCCACGGCCCCAGCGCCAGGAAAGGAUAGAGUCUGGUGGGAACAAAUAUAAACCAGGAAACAGCCAAAAGUCCAGUCCUUAAAGACAUGAUAUACAGAACAUCUAGAUCUACAAAGGACAGAAUUAUCCAAAUUAUACGCUGGCCAACCUGUCGGUGAACCAGAUCAGAGCUGGCCCAGGACCGGUGAACAGAGAAUGUGUUUACGGUUUGAAAAUUUGCUCUGAGGUUUAAAAAAUUUCUAGUUGCUGUUAAUAAGAAAGCAAGUAAAAAAUAUUAGAGAUGCACCACACUGGUUAUUUGAUUUUGCCAAGGUUUUCCACUAGAACAAGGUUAGAGUAUGGGGAUAAGACACUUAGAUAUUUUCAAAAUAAAUUACUUAGUAAUAAGAAAUCUGACUUAACUGCAUUCUUCCAUUUGCCACAAGAACAUAUUGACAAUGAGGACUAUUUAAAAGAAUGCUCAACUCUAAAAAGGGUGGUGGCAGCAACACAUUCCACUACAGAAUAACCUCCCACUUUCCCAUACAAUUAACAUGGCUACUUUUCACGAUACAUAUUCACGUGGAAAAACUUGUCAGGAGCUCUUGCCAGGGCCAGGAGAUGAAAAAUAGAGACUGUCCUGAUGACAUGGAUAGCUGUAAGCUCAGUUAACGUCUUUAGGAUGGACCCAUAAAAUCUGGCCACUGUUUUGUUGAAUAUCUGCAAAUCGCAGAACUCCUUAGCCCUUAGCCAUAGUAUCUGCUCAAUGUCUUAAAGCUGGGCUCAGUCCCAUCUGGGACUCUUUUCUUCAGGGCUGAGGUGCGUGCUAGUCAUCAAAGUCUGGCAUGUCAUCCUAGGAGUGUCCCCAGUAGCCUUUGGGUGCAUAGCAGGCGAUGCGCAGGUGGUAAAAUCCCGGCAGGGACACCAGGAUGCCAAUGAUCAGGACAGGAACAGCCCGGUCUACCCCCUCAUAGGAACUCUGGGAGAAGUUUGUUGAAGCUCAAAGGAAGAAACAUGUCUUGUUAUCUGAGAACAAAAUCCCUUUGCUGAUAUAGUCUGCCAGCAGGAGGGAGCCUAUGAUAAUGAGAAAGGCACCAAUCAAAAACAACACUGUAGGGCUUCCCUGGUGGCGCAGUGGUUGAGAAUCUGCCUACCAAUGCAGCGGACACGGGUUCGAGCCCUGGUUUGGGAAGAUCCCACAUCCCGCGGAGCAACUGGGCCCGUGCGCCAUAACUACUGAGCCUGUGUGUCUGGAGCCUGUGCUCCGCAACAAGAGGCCGCGACAGUGAGAGGCCCGCGCACCGCGAUGAAGAGUGGCCCCCGCUCACCGCAGCUAGAGAAAGCCCUCGCACAGAAACCAAGACCCAACACAGCCAAAAAUAAAUUAAUUAAUUAAUUAUAAAAAAAAAACAAAAACAAAACAGCAACGUAGCAAGUACAAUGGCCUUAUAUGGAAUCUUAGGAGGGCCUUUCUUAAACUUUAAUAAAUUGGAUCUCAUGACAUCAGGAAAGAAGGAAGAUUCCCACAAAUCUGUCGGCUUUAGCAGUUAGUUCCUCCCUGAAGGUCAAUGUAGCCAUCGUCUGUACUGGAGAACCUUGAGUAUUUCACUUUACUACUGGGGAUUUCGGUAGCCAGGUUGGUACGAGAUUGCAUCAUAACACGCUGACACAGCUACAGUCGGAGCCCCGCCAGGCCAUCUGCGCGCCACAGCUAGCUCACGGUUUGCAGCGGGCGAGCCGAGGCCUCAUGGCACGCCUCCCACAACUGCCUCCCCGCCCCCGACCCCAGAGAUUUUUAAUUAAUUAAAACAAUUAGAUUAACAAGUCUCCCUUCCAUGAAUCAUGGCCUUUGGUGUUAUAUCCAAAAAGUCAUCAUGUCAAAGGUAAUCUAGCUUUUUUCCUAUGUUAUCUUCUAGGAGUUUUAUAGUUUUGAAUUUUACAGUUAGCUCUAAGAUGCAUUUUGAGUUAAUUUUUUGUGAAGGGUAUAAGGUUCAUUUUUUGGCAUGUGGAUGUCCAGUUGUUCCAGCGCCAUUUGUUGAAAAGACUCUCUGUGUUCUAAUGUAUUACCUUUGCUUCUUCAUUAAAGAUCAGCUGAUUAUAUU
Globicephala melas (long-finned pilot whale) is the source of this 2182-nucleotide long non-coding RNA. RefSeq lists it as uncharacterized. NCBI's taxonomy places the organism in Eukaryota, Metazoa, Chordata, Mammalia, Artiodactyla, Delphinidae. The record is from RefSeq and is a predicted model, not a curated record.